UAAUAUUUAACGAAAACAACGUAGGAUCAGCCUUUCACUAUUUUGUUAAAUGUCCUCGAUAUGCUGUUCAAAGAUCUGUUCUUUUUUCUUCUGCUAUCCAAACAUUAGGGAACACUAGCUUUGUUAUCCAGCAGUGAGUUAGGCAAAUUAGAGCUGUUUUGUAUGGCUCAAGGGAUCUCUCGAUUGACGCAAAUCAAAAACUUUUUGCAGCUGUUCAAAUAAGUACUAGUUAAAACAUGAGCAGCCGAUCUUUAUAUCUGAUAUAUAGAC
Molecule: non-coding RNA, 270 nt
Organism: Paramuricea clavata
Lineage: Eukaryota; Metazoa; Cnidaria; Anthozoa; Malacalcyonacea; Plexauridae
Source: the annotation of a GenBank genome assembly